This 480-nucleotide ribosomal RNA is filed under the name uncultured bacterium. RNAcentral's name for it is "bacterial SSU rRNA". It matches the Rfam family "Bacterial small subunit ribosomal RNA", at positions 28 to 507 of the family's 1533-position model. The record is from RNAcentral.
GAUGAACGCUGGCGGCGUGCUUAACACAUGCAAGUCGAGCGAACCGAAUUGAAGGAAGCCUUCGGGUGAAAUUUGAGGAGGUUAGCGGCGGACGGGUGAGUAACGCGUGGGUAACCUACCCUGUACAGGGGGAUAACAUGGCGAAAGGCAUGCUAAUACCCCAUGGAGCUAAAAUAUCGCAUGAUAUAGUGGUGAAAGGGAUAACCGGUACAGGAUGGACCCGCGUCUGAUUAGCUAGUUGGUAGGGUAAAGGCCUACCAAGGCGACGAUCAGUAGCCGACCUGAGAGGGUGAACGGCCACACUGGAACUGAGACACGGUCCAGACUCCUACGGGAGGCAGCAGUGGGGAAUAUUGCACAAUGGGCGAAAGCCUGAUGCAGCAACGCCGCGUGAGCGAAGAAGGCCUUCGGGUCGUAAAGCUCUGUCCUAAGGGAAGAAGAAUGACGGUACCUUAGGAGGAAGCCCCGGCUAACUACGUG